GGUCUUAUGGUCUAGUGGUAUGAUUCUCGCUUAGGGUGCACUCUGAGUUGCUAUCCGACAGGAAAGCAUGCGAGAGGCCCCGCGUUCGAGUCGCGGUAAGACCC
Molecule: non-coding RNA, 104 nt
Organism: Phyllosticta citrichinensis
Lineage: Eukaryota; Fungi; Ascomycota; Dothideomycetes; Botryosphaeriales; Phyllostictaceae
Source: the annotation of a GenBank genome assembly